UGUGAAUUUUUAAAGUGGCUGUGCAUC
This 27-nucleotide non-coding RNA is filed under the name Homo sapiens (human). The record is from RNAcentral. Lineage: Eukaryota; Metazoa; Chordata; Mammalia; Primates; Hominidae.